Molecule: ribosomal RNA, 791 nt
Filed under: uncultured bacterium
Lineage: Bacteria
Description: bacterial SSU rRNA
Rfam family: Bacterial small subunit ribosomal RNA
Source: RNAcentral
AGAGUUUGAUCAUGGCUCAGAUCGAACGCUGGCGGCAUGCCUUACACAUGCAAGUCGAACGGCAGCGNNGGAGCAAUCCUGGCGGCGAGUGGCGAACGGGUGAGUAAUAUAUCGGAACGUGCCCUGUAGCGGGGGGAUAACCUAUCGAAAGAUGGACUAAUACCGCAUACGCUCUACGGAGGAAAGCGGGGGUCGCAAGACCUCGCACUAUAGGAGCGGCCGAUAUCGGAUUAGCUAGUUGGCGGGGUAAAAGCCCACCAAGGCGACGAUCCGUAGCUGGUCUGAGAGGAUGAUCAGCCACACUGGAACUGAGACACGGUCCAGACUCCUACGGGAGGCAGCAGUGGGGAAUUUUGGACAAUGGGCGCAAGCCUGAUCCAGCCAUGCCGCGUGAGUGAAGAAGGCCUUCGGGUUGUAAAGCUCUUUCGGCAGGAACGAAAUGGUUCGUGCUAAUACCACGGACUGAUGACGGUACCUGAAGAAGAAGCACCGGCUAACUACGUGCCAGCAGCCGCGGUAAUACGUAGGGUGCAGGCGUUAAUCGGAAUUACUGGGCGUAAAGCGUGCGCAGGCGGUUUCUUAAGUCAGAUGUGAAAGCCCCGGGCUUAACCUGGGAACUGCGUUUGAAACUGGGAGACUUGAGUGUGGCAGAGGGGGGUGGAAUUCCACGUAGCAGUGAAAUGCGUAGAUAUGUGGAGGAACACCGAUGGCGAAGGCAGCCCCCUGGGUUAACACUGACGCUCAUGCACGAAAGCGUGGGGAGCAAACAGGAUUAGAUACCCUAGUAGUCC